This 422-nucleotide ribosomal RNA is filed under the name uncultured bacterium. Its description in RNAcentral is "bacterial SSU rRNA". It matches the Rfam family "Bacterial small subunit ribosomal RNA", at positions 355 to 774 of the family's 1533-position model. The record is from RNAcentral.
UAAGGAAUAUUGGACAAUGGUCGCAAGACUGAUCCAGCCAUGCCGCGUGCAGGAAGACGGCCCUAUGGGUUGUAAACUGCUUUUGUACCAGAGAAAACCUAUCUACGUGUAGAUAGCUGAUAGUAUGGUAAGAAUAAGCAUCGGCUAACUUCGUGCCAGCAGCCGCGGUAAGACGAAGGAUGCAAGCGUUAUCCGGAUUCACUGGGUUUAAAGGGUGCGUAGGCGGGCUUGUAAGUCAGUGGUGAAAUCUCUCAGCUUAACUGAGAAACUGCCAUUGAUACUGCAGGCCUAGAGUAUAGAUGACGUUGGCGGAAUAUGACAUGUAGUGGUGAAAUACUUAGAUAUGUCAUAGAACACCGAUUGCGAAGGCAGCUAACGAAACUAUAACUGACGCUGAGGCACGAAAGUGCGGGGAUCAAACA